GUAGCAGUGAAAUGCGUAGAUAUUGAGAGGAACACCAGUUGCGAAGGCGGAUCUCUGGACGAUUCCUGACGCUGAGGCACGAAAGCUGGGGGAGCGAAGAGGAUUAGAUACCCUCGUAGUCCCAGCCGUAAACGGUGCGCACUUGCUGUGGGCGGAUUCGACCCCGUCCGUGGCGAAGCUAACGCGUUAAGUGCGCCGCCUGGGGAGUACGGUCGCAAGAUUAAAACUCAAAGAAAUUGACGGGGGCCUGCACAAGCGGUGGAGUAUGUGGCUUAAUUCGAUGCAACGCGAAGAACCUUACCUGGCCUUGACAUGUAGUGGACCGGGUGCGAAAUCACCCUUUUCUUCGGAACUGCUACACAGGUGCUGCAUGGCUGUCGUCAGCUCGUGUCGUGAGAUGUUGGGCUAAGUCCCGCAACGAGCGCAACCCCCGUGUUCUGUUGCCACCCGGAUGAGAAUCCGGAGCACUCUGGACAGACUGCCUGGUUUCAACCAGGAGGAAGGUGGGGAUGACGUCAAGUCAGUAUGGCCCUUACGGCCAGGGCUGCACACGUACUACAAUGCCCGGUACAAUGGGAAGCGAGACCGCGAGGUGGAGCAAAUCCUAAAAACCGGGCCCAGUUCAGAUUGUAGGCUGCAACUCGCCUACAUGAAGGAGGAAUCGCUAGUAAUGCCGUAUCAGCUACGACGGCGUGAAUACGUUCCCAGGCCUUGUACACACCGCCCGUCACAUCAUGAAAGUCGAUUGUACCCGAAGUCGCCGAGUUAACCGCAAGGAGACAAGCGCCGAAGGUAUGGUUGGUAAUUGGGAUGAAGUCGUAACAAGGUAACC
RNAcentral lists this ribosomal RNA (832 nucleotides) under uncultured marine microorganism. Its description in RNAcentral is "bacterial SSU rRNA". It matches the Rfam family "Bacterial small subunit ribosomal RNA", at positions 675 to 1501 of the family's 1533-position model. The record is from RNAcentral.